This is a non-coding RNA of Oncorhynchus mykiss (rainbow trout), 1079 nucleotides long. NCBI's taxonomy places the organism in Eukaryota, Metazoa, Chordata, Actinopteri, Salmoniformes, Salmonidae. The record is from RefSeq and is a predicted model, not a curated record.
UCCAAUGCGUUUUGAGAAGGAGGCGAAUAAAGCGGAAAGAGGACGCGAGAAGUAGACAAACUGAGUUCCGGACAAAGACUUGGGAACACAAAACGCCCGGGGUGGAGCAUGGACCGGACGUUAGAUCCACUGUCCUCAAAUCCUGUCCUCAAAGGCCUCAGACAGCAACAGACACAGUCUGCUCCAUUCAUUCCGUGAUACUGCGGCUGCUGGGGAAGCCAGGGGUUGACGAAGAGCAGGUGUGACUGUGGCGACUGGGGAAGCCAAUGGUUGACAAAGAGCAGGUGUGACUGCGGUUGUUUGGGAAGCCAAUGGUUGACGAAGAGCAGGCAUGACUGCGGCUGCUGGGGAAGCCAGGGGUUGACGAAGAGCCGGCGUGACUGCGGCUGCUGGGGAAGCCAGGGGUUGACGAAGAGUCGGCGUGACUGCGGCUGCUGGGUAAGCCAGGGGUUGACGAAGAGCAGGCGUGACUGCGGCUGCUGGGGAAGCCAGGGGUUGACGAAGGGCAGGCGUGACUGCGGCUGCUGGGGAAGCCAGGGGUUGACGAAGGGCAGGCGUGACUGCGGCUGCUGGGGAUGCCAGGGGUUGACGAAGAGCAGGCGUGCGUCCCAAAUGACGCCCUAUUCCGUAUAUAGUGCCUGGGCGCUCUGGUCAAAAGUAAUGCACUUCAUAGGGACUAGGAUGCCAUUUGGGACGGGAGGAUGCUGGGCCGCGUGCAUGGGAGACCAUGGGGCGUUUGCUCUUCUCAAUGGGAUAACAAAAGCUGGGUGAGCUGCGUGUGUUUCGCAUGUGUGCAGCUUUGGUGAUGGCCCUGUUAACAGAGGCUGAAGAAGAGACAAUAGCAUUUACACUUGUUCAAAUAGAGACUAAAUACAAACACAACCUUAAUAAAUCUCCUUGACUAAUUGGAUGUGUGAGACAUGGCAGAGUGAGUGUUUGUCACCUGGUCAGGUAUAAGGGAUAACUUGUCCUGGGAGGUUAAUGACAUUAGAUUUUUAUUAUUGGAACUUUUGUGUUUGUAAUGUUUACUGUAAAUGUUUUAUUGUUUAUUUCACAUGUGUUUAUUAUCUAUUUCACUU